RNAcentral lists this ribosomal RNA (253 nucleotides) under uncultured bacterium. RNAcentral's name for it is "partial 16S ribosomal RNA". It matches the Rfam family "Bacterial small subunit ribosomal RNA", at positions 524 to 776 of the family's 1533-position model. The record is from RNAcentral.
AACGUAGGAGACAAACGUUAUCCGGAGUUACUGGGCGUAAAGGGCGUGUAGGUGGUUGUGUAAGUCUGGCGUGAAAUUUUUCGGCUUAACCGGGAAAGGUCGUCGGAUACUGCAGAACUAGAGGACGGUAGAGGCGUGUGGAAUUCCCGGUGUAGUGGUGAAAUGCGUAGAUAUCGGGAGGAACACCAGUGGCGAAGGCGGCUUUCUGGCCUGUUCUUGACGCUGAGGCGCGAAAGCUAGGGGAGCGAACGGG